UAUUUUACUAUUAUGUGUUUAAAUGGGGGGUUGACUUGUCUAUAUACUGUUGAAAUAGUCAAUAAAUGGUUGCCAUGUUUCAAAAAAAAGGUUUUCUUGCUGUUUCAAUGAAAAUUUAAUCUUUUCUAAAUGUAAGUAUUGCAUUAUGUUUCUUAUCAAAUUAAGAUAUGUGGUUAAGAUAACAUGGUUUAAGUGUCUUUUUUUGUUUUAUUUUCAGCUUUUUUUUUAAUCUAUGCAUUUAUCAUUUCUGUAUUGAGUUUGACAAAUCUGCGUACAUUCUUUAUUGCUUUGACUGCAAUAUUUGAAAUAAAUCAAAUCAAUGAAUCAAUCAAUAGUUGGGUUUACUGAUGACAAAGUGAUUGUGAGACGGACGCGGCGCUCUGUCAAAAUGUCUGUUUUUGGUUACGAGUUGCAAACCAUGUAGGUGUUCUAUAAAUAAGCUAACAUGGAUACCGUGCAGGGGCGUCGGACUGGGGCUUUUUAUGUGUUACUAACAAGGUUGGGAGUUACAGGUACUGUAAAGAAUACACUAUCAUGGCUAACGCUUUUAAUAGCGACUCGUCGCAUUUCGGGCAGACACUCGGCAGAAUUGCAGGUUACUCCCCUAGGGCGGGUCAGUUAAUUAACCCACCUGCUUAGUGUCCUAUUUAAGUCAGGUGUGCAAUUGUUCAUUCUCUCUUACCUUCAGCGCUCAUUCUUUGCAGUUCCCUGUGCUCGCUGUUCUCUUUUCACUGUCCCACCGGUCCCUGUCGGAUCUUGUUGGAUCUUCAUCCUUUUCGCAGCAGCGCUGGGGUCCUCUUCGCCGAUUCACCGUGUUCGUUGUUCUCCUUCUGCGUCAUGGUGUCCUCCCCCGUUCUUCUGUUUGUUGGUUCCCCCCUUCUUACGGGGGGGGGGGACAUCCGUCUCCCCGCGUCUGCCCCUGUGUUUCGGCUUCCGGCUCGUGGCGCGUCUUCGGAUCCGCGGCUCUCGUGUCGCGUGCCUGCGUGUCGCGUUGGGUGUCUACGGAGCAGUGUCCUGCCUCAGUCGGGUUGUCUGUGGCGAUCGAUCUGGAGAUGUCUCGGCGUUUUUGGGUGCCGUAGUCGCCGGAAUGCUUGCACCUCUAUUAUCGGAUGCAAGAAUCAAAUCCGGCCGAGCCGCACUCCGUUGCUACGUGCGAUGUUGACCUUCCUCAUCAACAAUCUCCUUGGUUCUCGGUUAUACUUCCCAGUGCCUGCUCCUCCGUGACCUUCCGCAGGUGCGUCCCUUUGGAACUUUUGAAGGUUACUUCUCUUACCACUGGUGUACAUAAAAUUUGGUGUUAAGUUUUUGUGCAGGUUCUGUAUUUCACUGUCACUUCUCUGUUGGAAUUUUUGAUUAUGGUGGUUUCCAUUGUGCGAUGACUCCACAAUGGGACUUUUUCUUAACUUCUACCGAAUUUCGCUUCUCAGUAUUGUUCUUUUAAAAGCAGUGUUAUUCCAUUUUUUCUCAAGCAUUUUAAAACUGAUCAGUUUCUGAGUUAUUUGUAUGUUCUUUGCCAAGACUAAUACUGGUUUUGUCUUUAUCUAUGCAUCGCAUCCUGAGCCUGCGAACGCCUACUCCCCGGUCAGCUGCUCCAUUUCUGCCGAUUUUCACCCCUGCAUUCCCUGGUCUGGUGCUGCAACGAUGACUGCUCAACGCACCUAUUGCUGCACUGAAAGGGAAGAGGUGGUGGACCUCCUCUGCGUUCCAAGGACAUUUCUGGCUUGAAUCAAUCUAUGUCAGCGGCGGAAUGAGUGUGAAAUUCUUGGAUUAUAAAUGUUGGAAGAAAAUUAUUUGUCAGGUGGAAGCCUAAAAAAAAAAAAAAAAAAAAAAAAAAAAAAAAAAA
This is a non-coding RNA of Oryzias latipes (Japanese medaka), 1843 nucleotides long. NCBI's taxonomy places the organism in Eukaryota, Metazoa, Chordata, Actinopteri, Beloniformes, Adrianichthyidae. The record is from RefSeq and is a predicted model, not a curated record.